This is a long non-coding RNA of Carassius auratus (goldfish), 483 nucleotides long. RefSeq lists it as uncharacterized. The record is from RefSeq and is a predicted model, not a curated record. The transcript has 3 exons. NCBI's taxonomy places the organism in Eukaryota, Metazoa, Chordata, Actinopteri, Cypriniformes, Cyprinidae.
GAAAGGGGACAGAACAGAAAGGGGAAGAAGCUUUUUCAUAAAGCAGAGUCAGAAUGUAUUUGCAUCUAAUUAAGGUGACCAGACGUUGUGGUUUACCUAGGACAGUCCCGGUUUCACAAGGUGGUUAUAGCUGUGGUUAAUCUGACUUUGCUGCAGCCUGGAGUUGAAAUGAUGGUUUCGUCUGGUCAGAGGAGAACUGGCCCCCUGACUGAGCCUGGUUUCUCCCAACGUUUUUUUUCUCCAUUCUGUCACCGAUGGAGUUUUGGUUCCUUGUCACUGUCGCCUUGGGCUUGCUUGGGGACAAUACAUUUAUAGCGGUAUCAUUGACUUGAUUGCAAAUGAUUACAAAGAUACUAUUUAAACUGAACUGAGCUUGAUAAUGACAUCACAGAAUUCAAUGAUGAACUGCCGUUAACUGUAAUUUUGCAUUAUUGACACUGUUUUCACAAUUAAUGUUGUUCGAUCUGUUUGUUUAAAGCAUAA